RNAcentral lists this ribosomal RNA (406 nucleotides) under uncultured bacterium. RNAcentral's name for it is "partial 16S ribosomal RNA". It matches the Rfam family "Bacterial small subunit ribosomal RNA", at positions 30 to 526 of the family's 1533-position model. The record is from RNAcentral.
AUUGAACGCUGGCGGCAGGCCUAACACAUGCAAGUCGAACGAGUGGCGGACGGGUGAGUAACGUCUGGGAAACUGCCUGAGGGAGGGGGAUAACUACUGGAAACGGUAGCUAAUACCGCAUACCAUCAGAUGUGCCCAGAUGUGGUUUGCUUGUUGGUGGGGUAACGGCUCACCAAGGCCCCGAUCCCUAGCUGGUCUGAGAGGAUGACCAUCCACACUUGAACUGAGACACGGUCCAGCCUCCUACGGGCGGCAGCGGUGGGUAGUCUUGCACAAUGGGCGCUGGCCUGAUGCAGCCAUGCCGCGUGUAUGAAGAAGGCAUUCGGGUUGUAAAGUACUUUAAGCGGGAAGGCGUUACCCGCAGAAGAAGCACCGGCUAACGCCGUGCCAGCAGCCGCGGUAAUAC